Small nuclear RNA from Marmota marmota marmota (Alpine marmot), 108 nucleotides. NCBI's taxonomy places the organism in Eukaryota, Metazoa, Chordata, Mammalia, Rodentia, Sciuridae. The record is from Ensembl.
AUGUUUACUUUCAUGGCACAUAUAUUAAAACUGGAACGAUACAGAAAAAGAUUAGCAUGGCCCUUGAUCAAGGAUAACAGGCAAAUUUGUGAAGCAUUUUGUAUUCUG